This 195-nucleotide ribosomal RNA is filed under the name Triticum aestivum (bread wheat). RNAcentral's name for it is "partial small subunit ribosomal RNA". Lineage: Eukaryota; Viridiplantae; Streptophyta; Magnoliopsida; Poales; Poaceae. The record is from RNAcentral.
AUGGAUGGGCUACUACAUUGGGACUUCUCCCCCGGCCUUGCGGUCGCGGCUCAGGUGCGUCGUCGUUGUGGAUCCACUGUUCACUUCUCCCACUCUGGUACGACCAAAGAGUUCUUCUUGGUUGUAAGUUUCUCUUCGGCCUCAUUCCCUCUCAAUGAAGAAUCACUGGCCAUUGCACUACAAUGUUGCAUUGGU